Pezoporus occidentalis (night parrot) is the source of this 815-nucleotide long non-coding RNA. RefSeq lists it as uncharacterized. The transcript is spliced from 2 exons. Lineage: Eukaryota; Metazoa; Chordata; Aves; Psittaciformes; Psittacidae. The record is from RefSeq and is a predicted model, not a curated record.
AGUGAUGAUCUACUUCCACUGAGCUUUCAGGCACCAAGCCACCCCUGCCUGCCCUGGUAAUGGGAUGUUUGUGUUCAUUAGUGGCUCUUUUCAUUGUAGCUCUUUCUGAUUCCAGCUAAUUCAACACACGUUUGCAUUUUGAUCUUUUACUGUUUGCAGUGUGAAGAGAGCACCUGCAGCCUACACCGCAGCAGGGUUCACUGAGAGGCAGCACUUUGUUAUCCACAGCAGCUUGGUCCUCAAUUGCCUGAGGUGAUGGUGGCCAGCAGAGCCAUUGCAGAUUUGUCGAUGUGGAAUCGUGAUCAACAUGGGACCCAUUCCUGCCUCUGCCACUGUGAGCCUAGACCACUCACUGCCUCUGUGCCACAGCCUCCACCCCUCUGAAGGGACCAUAAAGCUCACAAGUGACAUCAGUUUGUCUCCUAAAUCCCUGCUUCUUGCCAUUGCCACAGCAGUGAUGUGCGUGUGUGAGGUGUGAGCUGCAACCCCAAAACCGCCUGGAAACUGUACCUACAGCUAUUUGUUUGCAUGUCUUAAGCUGCAGCUUAAGCAGGACCCUUUCCAGCUCACACACACAUAGUUCUUUUUUUAACUUUGCCAUGGCUUUGAGACUAAUACCACUGCUGUUUCAGAACAUAUACUGGGUUUGGACUUGCUCAGCUCCUUCUCGGUUUCCCUGAGGAAUCUGGCGUACCAACGGCCAUGGAAAACCAGGUUAAGCACACAGUAGAGGCUUUCAUGGCCCCUAAUCUUGAUGACAAAAUUAUUUGAACAAACACUUCUUGUGUCACCAAUAUAUAUUAUGUAAAACCUUG